CUCCAUAGUUAGUACAGAGCCCUGUCUGGAGGAAGACAACUGCGGGUCAGAUCAGGGGGUACCCCUAGACAAUGUGAAAGCACCUUGGGGAGCGCAAGUCUUUGGAUGGUGCAAAUAAGUCAUGACUGAGUUUUUUCUUCCAAGUCGGAGUAGUAGUCUUAUUUUUCUAUCCCCAUUUUACAGGUGGGGACAGUGAAGCAUCAAGUAACAGCUAAUCUUCUGCCUAGUGUGGACCAGAGGGAAAAUGGGGGCUGGAUUGCCAGUCCCUGGCUUUGUGUUUUGCUGACAGGUGUCAGGCCUCAGGGGAGGAUGGCAAUUUCUGCUCAUGCCCACAAGCUCUUCCCUUUCCAAAGGGAACCAAUGCAGAGGAUGGGCUUCAGGAAGAUACCACCCAGGAUCAGAUCCGCUGGUGGGAGGUGCCCCCUCCCUGUGCUCAAACCACAGGCGUGAGCAGAGCUGUGCCCACAGGGCGGCCAGGAUCAGCACCAAGGCCUUUCAGCGUCUGCUCAGUGCGGGGCCGGCCUGAAGGUACUUUCAAACGCUCUGUCUUAAAUUCUUAUGCCAUUCUGCCGGAAUAGGGUUAUGACCCUCCUUUUUACAGAGAGAGAGAUGGAGGCCCAGACCCAUUAGGAGACACCAAAGCUGAGGGAGGCCUGGCUAGGAACUCAAAGCUUCUCCUCCCAAGGUCAGGGCUCUUCCAAAGCACCCAGUGACCAGAACCCAACUCCCCUUAGUCCUACACAAAUACUAGUCUAGACAGGUGACCUGCCCAGACGACCCGCUCCUUGGUAGCUCGCUUGAUGCCAAUGUCUUCACAGGGAAUAAAAGUGAGCUCGAGCUUUUACUCGCCAAGCAGUUCUGUGCACACAUACAAGCCACAGUGUCUUAAUAUUUAUCCUGUUCUCUGAGAAUGCCCCUUCUACACCAUACAUCUAGGACUGUCCCAGUGCAUGCAUAAAAAUCCACAUUUACAUAAAUUACAAACUAUGGGUUAAUUAUUCACCUAAUACUGACUAAAGAUUCACUACAAAAUUCACUUAAAUGCCAAGCCCCUCUAUAGUCAUUUAUUACAACUCAGUUUUUAAUACAUUUCAUGAAUACACAUGUUCCAUAAAGCAAAAUACACACACUCGGUCUGUAUGUUACGCCAGUUUUAACCUGUGACGUUUAAUGCCUGUCUCUGGGAGGACGAGAUCAGUCUCUCUACCAGUUCAUCUAGAAUUGGCCAACUUUGUCGUCACAGCCCAGCCACUGAGUCCUCUCUUCUAAGGUUCGAUCCAGGAAGCAGGGGAUUUGAAGGGUAUGGGUGCAAUUUCCGUCACAUUACAAGAGCUUUCAGAGUCAACACUUUGGAGCUCAGACUCUUAGAGAUUUCAGUGGCCCGCCUCCCCUAGAAGUUAAUGAUCUGUAAGAGAAAGGGCCAUAUGAGGAUACAGUGACAAAGCAGCCAUCUGCAAGCCAAGCAGACAACCCAAUCUGCUGACACCCUGAUCUGUACUACCAGCUCCUAGAACAAUGAGAAAUAUAUUUCUGUUUUUUAAGCUCCCCAGUGUGUGGUAUUUUGUUAUGGGAGCCCUAGCAGACCAAGACAGUUUACCCAAUUUGUUUAUCCAUUCUC
Capra hircus (goat) is the source of this 1618-nucleotide long non-coding RNA. RefSeq lists it as uncharacterized. NCBI's taxonomy places the organism in Eukaryota, Metazoa, Chordata, Mammalia, Artiodactyla, Bovidae. The transcript has 3 exons. The record is from RefSeq and is a predicted model, not a curated record.